Molecule: non-coding RNA, 2366 nt
Organism: Oryza sativa Japonica Group (Japanese rice)
Lineage: Eukaryota; Viridiplantae; Streptophyta; Magnoliopsida; Poales; Poaceae
Source: RefSeq, a predicted model, not a curated record
GAGAGGAGGAGUCGCGCACGUGGUUGGAUCCACACGGCGCAGCGGCGGCGUCGUUUCAUCUCCCAAAAUCAAGCGCGUGAUUAUUUCUUUCUCCUCGUCCGUCGCCGCUGAGCACCUGCUCCACGCGACUCCACGACCGGCGACCACGCCUGACGUCUCCGACUCCAUCCCGUCGUGCGCCCGUCACCGUUCGCCCAUGGACCGCCACAGCCGUGCUCGACGCGGCGACCGCCCGGCGCUCGCUUGCCGACGCCGCCCGUUUCCCACACACUCCGACGACUCCGCGACCUAUGACAGCCCCUAAAUCCUAUCAUCCAAUCUGCCACUCUCCAUUCAGGGCAGUCUGGGAGUAGAAGUUUAGGACGGCCGGCGGGCAGCGGCAGCAGCAAGCUGGCCGGCAAUGGCUGGAUCCAUGAGCUCGCCGGCUUGCCCUCAUUGACUCGUCAAAUCCGCCUAGUGACCACAAGUGCUUCUAUCAAAAAUCACAUCCGAUAGCCACCACUUACAACAAGUGGUUUAUCGGUUCAUGAAUAUAACCACCGCAAAUAUGAUAAAGAUUAAUAGGUAACUGUUUUUAUUUAUGUCAAAUCAUUUCAUGACUUAUUGUUUGUUGAUAAUUAAACUAUGCCUUGUUGCAUGGAGGAAUGAAGAUGGUGACAUCGCAUUUUACAUGAUAUAUUCAUUUGUUUUGGGUAUGGAGCUCAUGACACAUUAUUAACUUCAUAUAUAUUAUUAUCAGUUGGUUUCUUCAUUAUGAGCUGUACAUGUCGAUACUACGUAAAGAAAGUUAGGAACCCCUCGGUUUUUCUCUAGCUCCGCCCCUGGCUGAAGAUGCAGAUGCAGAGGCGCAGCUGUUUGGUAUUGAUCGUCGCAUGUGAUGCAGAGUUGUGUGGGUAAAGGCCGUGUCCCGUACUGCCCGUUUCUGAACCCGAGCCUGAAACUGGAGCACGCAUGGUGUCCAUGCCCUGUACUCUCUCUCUCCCUCUUUUGCAGGAGGAAAUCGAGGGUGUCGCUUGCAUUGCAUUGCACCGCUCGAGAGACAGAGCAUGCCGUGUUCUGUGUUUUGGUGGCAAACUGGCAACUGGCAAAGCAAAUGCAAGUUCAUGUUGGUUCUUCUGAUCUUGCCAAAGAAACCACUGCAGAUUAUUCAGAACGGUGAUAGGAGUAGCACACAUUACUUCCUUUUGUCGUGGGGAGAAAAGUUUUAUAAUUUAGAGAUGUGGAUGCGUAUGAAUUGGUUUUACAACAGAAAGGCUGCCAAAGCUGUGCUCCUUUCAUUUUCGUACUUCUGUCUUUUUAUGAGGGAAAUGGUUGGGUGCUAGCGCAACAAAGCUGAUCAAGAUAUUCUGUCCAAAUCAUAGGCGAUAUAUAGGCUCAUUUUCAUAGACUAAUCAACUCUUAUAUAUUACUCUAUUUACUAUAGUGUCUUUUAUUCCAAGGAAUUGUUGUUUACUUGUUUUUUUUCCUCCCUUUCGGUUAGGGAGAGAAGGAUAGGUAGGCUGAUCGCCAUUCAUCAACUACCGCUUCCCAACCACUGCCUUAGAAAAAUGGCCUCCUGGAGGCUGUCAUAAUCCGGGCCUGAUUUACAUCUGGGCCAAAUAAAACUUUACUAUGAUGCAAGUCCAAUAGCCCAAAUCAAACAAAAUGUGCAGUCUUCACACUGGUACAUUUUGUCAGUUUGUUUUGCAAUUAUCCUUCAAAUACCAUUUAUUAUCCAGAAAAUUCAUUUACAAAUUCAUCCAUCAAAUGCCAUUUAUUAUUCAGAAAAUUCAUUUACAAAUUCCCAGUGUUUAUGUAUGAGUAUGAGUCGGACUAUAGCUGCUCAAAAUUGUACUGGCAACGUGAACGACCGAUUAGGUUUCUUACAGUGAAACAUGUUUAUCCGAAUUUAAGUUUUAAAUUUAGCAUAUGUUUUUUAUUUACGGCUAAUUAUUUUAUUAUGGUAGAUGACGUAUUAUUCUACGAGAUGUCGUGUAUAUGGGCGCAUGCGUCGGUACCGUGUUUAGGAAAAAAAAAAGGAAUUGUACGGGCAACGUGGCAUGCAUAUGACGGCGAGAUUUUAGAAUAGUGUUUUACAGGGCUGCCCUGUUUGUGAACACACAUGAUCAGCUCGAGUCCAUGUUUGAAACAGCUCCCACCCUGCAAAUUCUUGUACCCUGUUGAGUACUGUUUCUUCUGUACCGUAGUUCGUGGUAACUGACAGAUGCUGGCAUAGUGGCAUUGGUAUGUUUCUCAAACCCUGCAUUGGGCAUAAUUGCAUUACCCCAGGAUUAACUAGCAAGCAAAAGCAAUGUCUCUCAUCUUCGGUUACAGCGGUGAAUGGGCUUAUCGUCAGGGUUUAGUAACGGAAAUAACCUAGCUCCUAG